AAUGAACGCUGGCGGCAUGCCUAACACAUGCAAGUCGCACGCGAAAGGGGGCAACCCCGAGUAGAGUGGCGGACGGGUGCGUAAUACGUAGGAAUCUACCUAGUAGUGGGGGACAACCCGGCGAAAGCCGGGCUAAUACCGCAUACGACCUAUGGGUGAAAGCCGGGGACCGCAAGGCCUGGCGCUAUUAGAUGAGCCUGCGUCGGAUUAGCUAGUUGGUGGGGUAAAGGCUCACCAAGGCGACGAUCCGUAGCUGGUCUGAGAGGACGACCAGCCACACUGGGACUGAGACACGGCCCAGACUCCUACGGGAGGCAGCAGUGGGGAAUAUUGGACAAUGGGGGCAACCCUGAUCCAGCAAUGCCGCGUGUGUGAAGAAGGCCUUCGGGUUGUAAAGCACUUUCGGUGGGGACAAACAAGGUGGAGCUAAUAUCUCCGCCUCUGAUGGUACCCAAAGAAGAAGCACCGGCUAACUCUGUGCCAGCAGCCGCCGUAAAAC
Molecule: ribosomal RNA, 499 nt
Filed under: uncultured bacterium
Lineage: Bacteria
Description: bacterial SSU rRNA
Rfam family: Bacterial small subunit ribosomal RNA
Source: RNAcentral